Long non-coding RNA from Mesocricetus auratus (golden hamster), 1252 nucleotides. RefSeq lists it as uncharacterized. Lineage: Eukaryota; Metazoa; Chordata; Mammalia; Rodentia; Cricetidae. The record is from RefSeq and is a predicted model, not a curated record. The transcript is spliced from 3 exons.
CUCCAAGGCAGACAGAAAACAGACACAGUACAGAGGGCCGCAACUCUUCUAGGGUUUCAUCCCUUUCUUCCUCAAUGUUGACCCUGAACCUGAGUCCUAGAAGCUGUUUGUCAGGUGCUGCACUAGGACUUGAAGCUAGAUAAAGGUACAGAUUCCACACCUGCCAUCAAGGUCAUAAGAAAAGUGUCUUUCAGAAACCCUGCCAAACCACCCUAGUAAAGAAGAAAUUGAGAAGAUGAACCUUAAGCCUGAGAAGAUGAAUUCCAGGUGCCCUCCAGCCCCCACGUUGAAUAUCCCACAAUUCGGGCACAAAACUGCAGUAUGCCCAUUGAAGUCAGUAUGGUAGCAAGAGGCUAUAAUCACAAUUCUUCAAUUUAUUCACAGUGAUGAUUUCCUAGACCUUGAUAUUUCUGCAGCAAUUCAGCUAUCCAACAUAAAGACACAUGAGAAAGAGUGAUAUUGUAGUAUUUAUCUUUGCAGUGGUUCUGAGAAGAUUCUAAUAGGCAAAAGAUGGUAUCAGAGAGAAUGGUGAAGCACAAAACAGGGUAGCAGUGGCUAUGCAUUUUCAGCAAAAGAUAAAUGACACACACAAGGAAUGUCUAGCAGGUGGCAAGAAAAUUAGGUCUGGUUUUCCAACAAUAAAAUGCAACUAAAGAGCAAGUAUUGGUGGCAAUUUUAUCCUUACACAAUAUGAAGAAACAGUUCUAAACUAUUUUGUUGGUGAGAAAAUGUAUGCUGAGACAGAUCAAGUAAAGGCUAGGUAGUGAGAAGACAAUGCCAGGACUCUUCCUGAGUCUCCUUCACGAUCAAGCUGACAACUCUCUUAUCAGCCAAAUCACGGGCCUCUGCCCAGUAAUGUCAAUUCGUUCCAGGGAGAAGAGAAAGGAUGGCUUUGUCAAAAACGAAGAUAGAGACGGAGACACUCGUGAGAAGCUGGGAUCCUGGCUCUGCCAAAGUACAGACAGCUAUCUAAGGAAGGAAGAAAGGGGCUGCUGCAGCUCGUGCAGAUGCGCCCAUCUUUGGAAAGUGUGCUCCAGGGAAACCAAUCUUUUCUGCUUGUACCACUGUGGCUAAAUCAAGACAGCACCAUACUUGUCCUGGGGAUGACAGCCCUGACCUGGGUACACAUUCUAAGCAUAGGCAAGCUGCAGUCACAAGGGUUGGAAUAUUAUUAGUUUCACUCUGUUUCAGCUCCAGAUUUCUCUGUGAAUCGUGUGUGCAUGAAUCACAGCCGCCACUCCUCAUAUUUAGA